AGAGUUUGAUCCUGGCUCAGGAUGAACGCUGGCGGCGUGCCUAACACAUGCAAGUCGAACGUGAGCCUGAUUUCGGUCAGGUGAAAGUGGCGAACGGGUGAGUAACACGUUGGUGACCUGCCCCGAACAGGGGGAUAACACCUCGAAAGAGGCGCUAAUACCCCGGAGGUCUGAACUAUUAGAGGGUUCAGACUAAAGCUGAGGCGGUUCGGGAGGGGCCUGCGGGCUAUCAGCUAGUUGGUGAGGUAAUGGCUCACCAAGGCGCAGACGGCUAGGGGGCGUGAGAGCGUGACCCCCCACAAGGGAACUGAGAAACGGUCCCUACUCCUACGGGAGGCAGCAGUGAGGAAUAUUGAGCAAUGGGCGCAAGCCUGACUCAGCAACGCCGCGUGGACGAUGACGGCCUUCGGGUUGUAAAGUCCUUUUCUGGAGGACGAUGAUGACGGUACUCCAGGAACAAGUCCCGGCUAACUACGUGCCAGCAGCCGCGGUAAAACGUAGGGGGCGAGCGUUAUCCGGAUUUACUGGGCGUAAAGCGCAUGUAGGCGGUGGGAUAAGUUGGACGUGAAAGCUCCCGGCUUAACUGGGAGAGGUCGUUCAAAACUAUCCGACUGGAGGUUGGAAGAGGAGAGUGGAAUUCCCGGUGUAGUGGUGGAAUGCGUAGAGAUCGGGAGGAACACCAGUGGCGAAAGCGGCUCUCUGGACCAAACCUGACGCUGAGAUGCGAAAGCGUGGGGAGCAAACGGGAUUAGAUACCCCGGUAGUCCACGCUGUAAACGAUGGAGACUAGGUGUCGGCGGUCAUUUACCCCGUCGGUGCCGCAGCUAACGCGUUAAGUCUCCCGCCUGGGGACUACGGCCGCAAGGUUAAAACUCAAAGGAAUUGAUGG
RNAcentral lists this ribosomal RNA (889 nucleotides) under uncultured bacterium. RNAcentral's name for it is "bacterial SSU rRNA". It matches the Rfam family "Bacterial small subunit ribosomal RNA", at positions 8 to 916 of the family's 1533-position model. The record is from RNAcentral.